RNAcentral lists this small nucleolar RNA (71 nucleotides) under Mesocricetus auratus (golden hamster). Its description in RNAcentral is "Small nucleolar RNA U3". It matches the Rfam family "Small nucleolar RNA U3", at positions 1 to 73 of the family's 219-position model. From Rfam's summary of the family: Small nucleolar RNAs (snoRNAs) are involved in the processing and modification of rRNA in the nucleolus. There are two main classes of snoRNAs: the box C/D class, and the box H/ACA class. The record is from Rfam by way of RNAcentral. Lineage: Eukaryota; Metazoa; Chordata; Mammalia; Rodentia; Cricetidae.
AAGACUAUACUUUCAGGGAUCAUUUCUAUAGUUUGUUACCAAAAAGUGUCAGAAAUUACUGUCCUCAGGCU